Molecule: ribosomal RNA, 253 nt
Filed under: uncultured bacterium
Lineage: Bacteria
Description: partial 16S ribosomal RNA
Rfam family: Bacterial small subunit ribosomal RNA
Source: RNAcentral
UACGUAGGGGGCUAGCGUUGUCCGGAAUCAUUGGGCGUAAAGCGCGUGUAGGCGGUCCGGUAAGUCCGCUGUGAAAGUCCAGGGCUCAACCCUGGGAUGCCGGUGGAUACUGUCGGGCUAGAGUACGGAAGAGGCGAGUGGAAUUCCCGGUGUAGCGGUGAAAUGCGCAGAUAUCGGGAGGAACACCAAUUGCGAAGGCAGCUCGCUGGGACGUUACUGACGCUGAGACGCGAAAGCGUGGGGAGCGAACAGG